Molecule: ribosomal RNA, 502 nt
Filed under: uncultured bacterium
Lineage: Bacteria
Description: partial 16S ribosomal RNA
Rfam family: Bacterial small subunit ribosomal RNA
Source: RNAcentral
AUUGAACGCUGGCGGCAGGCUUAACACAUGCAAGUCGAGCGGGGUGAUGGUGCUUGCACUAUCACUUAGCGGCGGACGGGUGAGUAAUGCUUAGGAAUCUGCCUAUUAGUGGGGGACGACAUCUCGAAAGGGAUGCUAAUACCGCAUACGUCCUACGGGAGAAAGCAGGGGAUCACUUGUGACCUUGCGCUAAUAGAUGAGCCCAAGUCGGAUUAGCUAGUUGGUGGGGUAAAGGCCUACCAAGGCGACGAUCUGUAGCGGGUCGGAGAGGAUGAUCCGCCACACUGGGACUGAGACACGGCCCAGACUCCUACGGGAGGCAGCAGUGGGGAAUAUUGGACAAUGGGGGGAACCCUGAUCCAGCCAUGCCGCGUGUGUGAAGAAGGCCUUAUGGUUGUAAAGCACUUUAAGCGAGGAGGAGGCUCUUUUGGUUAAUACCAAGAUGAGUGGACGUUACUCGCAGAAUAAGCACCGGCUAACUCUGUGCCAGCCGCCGCAGUAA